CCUACGGGUGGCAGCAGUGGGGAAUAUUGCACAAUGGGGGAAACCCUGAUGCAGCGACGCCGCGUGAAGGAUGAAGUAUUUCGGUAUGUAAACUUCUAUCAGCAGGGAAGAAAAUGACGGUACCUGACUCAGAAGCCCCGUCUAACUACGUGCCAGCAGCCGCGGUAAUACGGAGGGGGCAAGCGUGAUCCGGAUUGACUGGGUGUAAAGGGGGCGUAGACGGUGUGGCAAGUCUGAUGUGAAAGCCCGGGGUUCAACCCCGGGACUGCAGUUGAAACUGCCGAACUAGAGGGUCGGAGAGGCAAGUGGAAUUCCUAGUGUAGCGGUGAAAUGCGUAGAUAUUAGGAGGAACACCAGUGGCGAAGGCGGCUUGCUGGACGAUGACUGACGUUGAGGCUCGAAAGCGUGGGGAGCAAACAGGAUUAGAUACCCUUGUAGUC
Molecule: ribosomal RNA, 440 nt
Filed under: uncultured bacterium
Lineage: Bacteria
Description: partial 16S ribosomal RNA
Rfam family: Bacterial small subunit ribosomal RNA
Source: RNAcentral